CUGAAAUGAUGAAAUGCCACUUCGUUGGUCCGUGUUUCUGAAACACAUGAUCUUAGUGGAAGUUCUGAUUUA
Molecule: small nucleolar RNA, 72 nt
Organism: Echinops telfairi (small Madagascar hedgehog)
Lineage: Eukaryota; Metazoa; Chordata; Mammalia; Afrosoricida; Tenrecidae
Gene: SNORD18
Rfam family: Small nucleolar RNA SNORD18
About the family: U18 is a member of the C/D class of snoRNA which contain the C (UGAUGA) and D (CUGA) box motifs. It is encoded in introns of ribosomal protein L1 in Xenopus and human, and in introns of elongation factor 1 beta in yeast.
Source: Ensembl